This 561-nucleotide ribosomal RNA is filed under the name Charybdis granulata. Its description in RNAcentral is "partial 16S ribosomal RNA". It matches the Rfam family "Archaeal large subunit ribosomal RNA", at positions 1921 to 2699 of the family's 2987-position model. Lineage: Eukaryota; Metazoa; Arthropoda; Malacostraca; Decapoda; Portunidae. The record is from RNAcentral.
GUCUAUUAUGAUGAUAAUAAUAGUCUAGCCUGCUCAGUGACAAAAUAACGUUAAAUAGCCGCGGUAUCCUGACCGUGCAAAGGUAGCAUAAUCAUUAGCUUCUUAAUUGGAAACUAGAAUGAACGGUUGAACAAGGGAAACACUGUCUUUUUUAUUAAAAUUGAAUUUAACUUCUAAGUGAAAAGGCUUAGAUACUCUAAGGGGACGAUAAGACCCUAUAAAGCUUUAUAAGUUUAAAAAUUUUUGAGUAUUUAAAACAUAAAUUUAUUUUUCGAUAUCUUAUUUGGUUGGGGCGACAAUGGUAUAAUUCAAAAUAACUGCCGUUUAUAUAAUAACAAUUAUCAUUGAGUUAACGAAAUUAUAACUGAUCCCCUUUAGGGAGUAAAAGAUCAAGUUACUUUAGGGAUAACAGCGUAAUUUUCUCUGAGAGUCCUUAUCAAAGAGAGAGUUUGCGACCUCGAUGUUGAAUUAAGAUGUCUCCAUAGUGCAGCAGCUAUGAUAGAAGGUCUGUUCGACCUUUAAUAUCUUACAUGAUUUGAGUUCAGACCGGCGUGAGCCAGG